RNAcentral lists this transfer RNA (67 nucleotides) under Nectoboreus dolerosus. Its description in RNAcentral is "tRNA-Arg". The record is from RNAcentral. Lineage: Eukaryota; Metazoa; Arthropoda; Insecta; Coleoptera; Dytiscidae.
AAAUAAGAAGUAAUAUUUACAUUUAGUUUCGACCUAAAAAUUUGGUGCUAUUAGACACCCUUAUUUA